This 399-nucleotide ribosomal RNA is filed under the name uncultured bacterium. RNAcentral's name for it is "bacterial SSU rRNA". It matches the Rfam family "Bacterial small subunit ribosomal RNA", at positions 914 to 1312 of the family's 1533-position model. The record is from RNAcentral.
CGGGGACCCGCACAAGCGGUGGAGCAUGUGGUUUAAUUCGAAGCAACGCGAAGAACCUUACCAAAUCUUGACAUCCUUUGACAACUCUAGAGAUAGAGCUUUCCUCUUCGGGGGACAAAGUGACAGGUGGUGCAUGGUUGUCGUCAGCUCGUGUCGUGAGAUGUUGGGUUAAGUCCCGCAACGAGCGCAACCCUUAAGCUUAGUUGCCAUCAUUAAGUUGGGCACUCUAAGUUGACUGCCGGUGACAAACCGGAGGAAGGUGGGGAUGACGUCAAAUCAUCAUGCCCCUUAUGAUUUGGGCUACACACGUGCUACAAUGGACAAUACAAAGGGCAGCGAAACCGCGAGGUCAAGCAAAUCCCAUAAAGUUGUUCUCAGUUCGGAUUGUAGUCUGCAACU